GCCGGGCGCGGUGGUGCGUGCCUGUAGUCCCAGCCACUCGGGAGGCUGAGGCGGGAGGAUCGCUUGAGCCCAGGAGUUCUGGGCUGUAGUGCGCUAUGCCGAUUGGGUGUCUGCACUAAGUUCGGCAUCAAUAUGGUGACCUCCCGGGAACGGGGAGCCACCAGGUUGCCUAAGGAGGGGUGAACCGGCCCAGGUUGGAAACAGAGCAGGUCAAAACUCCCGUGCUGACCAAUAGUGGGAUGGCGCCUGUGAAUAGCCAGUGCACUGCAGCCUGGAUAACAUAGCGAGACCCCAUCUCUU
Callithrix jacchus (white-tufted-ear marmoset) is the source of this 300-nucleotide unclassified non-coding RNA. It matches the Rfam family "Metazoan signal recognition particle RNA". Rfam says of the family: The signal recognition particle (SRP) is a universally conserved ribonucleoprotein. It is involved in the co-translational targeting of proteins to membranes. The eukaryotic SRP consists of a 300-nucleotide 7S RNA and six proteins: SRPs 72, 68, 54, 19, 14, and 9. The record is from Ensembl. Lineage: Eukaryota; Metazoa; Chordata; Mammalia; Primates; Cebidae.